UCCUGAGCUCAAGUGAUUGGCCCACCUUGGUUUCUGAAAGUGCAGGGAUUACAGGUAUGAGCCACUGCACCCAGCUUAGCCUAUUUAUUUUGUCAACCCAGGAAAUGGGUACUUUGUCUAAUAAUUACAUCAAGUCUGAGGCCAUUGACCGGAGUUCAAAUGGUCCCAGCCUAGAUGAGGAAGAUUGUAGCCCUUUCUUUCUCCCAUUGUAUAUACUGAUGACUUUAAGAUACUUUAUUCUCUACCUCUUGUGUCUCCUGCUAGGAAAUACAAAGGGUGAGAGUUACAACCUCUAGGUUACAAGCCUUAGUCUAAUUAGUAUACCAAAGUGAAUCCUCUAUCAAUCUCACUUCUCCCAGUUUUCAUUGAAAUGUCAAUGGUGUCCCCCUAGUCUCUUAAAUCAUUCAAUUUCUACUUCCUCUGUCCUUUUCUCCUUUUGAUACACCGUUUAGUACACCAUCUCCACUCACCUCCAUGGCCAUACCUUCAAUUUUAUUCAAAUCAGGAACCACUUCUGUUCAGUUUCCCAUUUGUCAAUUUUGGCUUUUGUUGCUAUUGACAAUUUGACUUCCUCUUUUCCUAAUUGAGGAAAAGACUAUUUCUUUCUCCUGCCUGAUUGCCCUGGCCUUCUCCAUCCAGUUUUGUUCCCUUGCUGGUGAGGACUUGUGUUCCUUUGGAGGAGUGGAGAUGCCUUGGCUAAGCUGACUGUGCACUUCCAGGGCUCACAGGGGUCUGGCCAGGAGACUGAGCAAGGGGACCAGGGAGGUUGUGCAGAGGCUUCUGCACAGCAAGGCAGACAUUCUUCUUGGAGCCCCCAACCCAAAUCAGGUCUUCCACCUCCUCUUCCUAAAGACCCUUUACUGCU
This 865-nucleotide long non-coding RNA is filed under the name Homo sapiens (human). Its description in RNAcentral is "HSALNT0014099". Lineage: Eukaryota; Metazoa; Chordata; Mammalia; Primates; Hominidae. The record is from RNAcentral.